CUAACACAUGCAAGUCGAGCGGUAGAGAGAAGCUUGCUUCUCUUGAGAGCGGCGGACGGGUGAGUAAUGCCUAGGAAUCUGCCUGGUAGUGGGGGAUAACGUUCGGAAACGGACGCUAAUACCGCAUACGUCCUACGGGAGAAAGCAGGGGACCUUCGGGCCUUGCGCUAUCAGAUGAGCCUAGGUCGGAUUAGCUAGUUGGUGAGGUAAUGGCUCACCAAGGCGACGAUCCGUAACUGGUCUGAGAGGAUGAUCAGUCACACUGGAACUGAGACACGGUCCAGACUCCUACGGGAGGCAGCAGUGGGGAAUAUUGGACAAUGGGCGAAAGCCUGAUCCAGCCAUGCCGCGUGUGUGAAGAAGGUCUUCGGAUUGUAAAGCACUUUAAGUUGGGAGGAAGGGCCAUUACCUAAUACGUGAUGGUUUUGACGUUACCGACAGAAUAAGCACCGGCUAACUCUGUGCCAGCAGCCGCGGUAAUACAGAGGGUGCAAGCGUUAAUCGGAAUUACUGGGCGUAAAGCGCGCGUAGGUGGUUUGUUAAGUUGGAUGUGAAAUCCCCGGGCUCAACCUGGGAACUGCAUUCAAAACUGACUGACUAGAGUAUGGUAGAGGGUGGUGG
Molecule: ribosomal RNA, 621 nt
Filed under: Pseudomonas sp.
Lineage: Bacteria; Pseudomonadati; Pseudomonadota; Gammaproteobacteria; Pseudomonadales; Pseudomonadaceae
Description: bacterial SSU rRNA
Rfam family: Bacterial small subunit ribosomal RNA
Source: RNAcentral